RNAcentral lists this transfer RNA (68 nucleotides) under Geomys arenarius (desert pocket gopher). RNAcentral describes it as "tRNA-Trp". Lineage: Eukaryota; Metazoa; Chordata; Mammalia; Rodentia; Geomyidae. The record is from RNAcentral.
AGAGGUUUAGGUUAUCUAGACCAAGGGCCUUCAAAGCCCUAAGAAGAUAUAAUUUUAUCUAACCCCUG